This is a long non-coding RNA of Oncorhynchus kisutch (coho salmon), 650 nucleotides long. RefSeq lists it as uncharacterized. The transcript has 2 exons. Lineage: Eukaryota; Metazoa; Chordata; Actinopteri; Salmoniformes; Salmonidae. The record is from RefSeq and is a predicted model, not a curated record.
AUUAGUGGAACGAGCCUUUUAGAGUUUAUUUCAGAAAUGUUUCAAGACCUCCGUGACACAAGAUGGCGACACGGACCUAAAAAAAAACUUUCACAUUGACUAUAGAUGGGCUAUCGAAGAAGAAACAAUGCAGAGUCCGGAACGGGACAGCUAAGAUCGUUGUAACAUGGCGUUCAAGCGUCUUAUAUCCGCUCUGCUCAACAAAGCGCAAGUGGUGGAAAAACUGUCCGAGUUGCGACCGAUACGACGGGCCGCACAGCUCACCGCUUAUGCCUUGAUGAAGGCAAAAAUUGCCGGAAAAGAAACGACCACCAAACUGCUGAAGUUCAAAACAGUUCGCCAGAUACGACAUGAGGCGUCGGGACUGCCUAAAAACGCCGGGGAGAUGGGGAGAAAAGCCGGAAGACUCCGGGAUUCUAUAGUAAAGGAUGUGAAAGACGGGAUAAGGGACACUUCGAGACAAGUUAAAGACAAAUGAUGGUGUGUUUAACAACAAACCAAAUAGUAUAUUUUAAGGCCUAAAUGACGGCUAUCAUAAUGGUCUUCAGCUCUCAAAAACUCUAUUCUGACUAAUAUUCCAAAUAAAAGCCCGCAUUGCAAAACACUGCAAUGUGUAGAAUUCAUUCAAAAACAUUAAAAUGUUAAAUCAA